ACGUAGGGACCAAGCGUUGUUCGGAUUUACUGGGCGUAAAGGGCGCGUAGGCGGUGCGGUAAGUCACUUGUGAAAUCUCUGAGCUUAACUCAGAACGGCCAAGUGAUACUGCAGUACUAGAGUGUAGAAGGGGCAAUCGGAAUUCUUGGUGUAGCGGUGAAAUGCGUAGAUAUCAAGAGGAACACCUGAGGUGAAGACGGGUUGCUGGUCUAACACUGACGCUGAGGCGCGAAAGCCAGGGGAGCAAACGGGAUUAGAUACCCCGGUAGUCCUGGCCCUAAACGAUGAAUACUUGGUGUCCGGAGUCUUUAAUGCUCUGGGUGCCGUCGCUAACGUUUUAAGUAUUCCGCCUGGGGAGUACGCUCGCAAGAGUG
Molecule: ribosomal RNA, 374 nt
Filed under: uncultured bacterium
Lineage: Bacteria
Description: bacterial SSU rRNA
Rfam family: Bacterial small subunit ribosomal RNA
Source: RNAcentral